This 2546-nucleotide ribosomal RNA is filed under the name Kumanoa ambigua. Its description in RNAcentral is "bacterial LSU rRNA". It matches the Rfam family "Bacterial large subunit ribosomal RNA". The record is from RNAcentral. Lineage: Eukaryota; Rhodophyta; Florideophyceae; Batrachospermales; Batrachospermaceae.
AAACUGUUGUUUAUUAAAUUAAAUUGUGGUGCGAAUUGAAUCAUCUUAGUAACACUAAAAAAUAAAUCAAACGAGAUACUGUAAGUAAUAGCGAAUGAAAACAGUUUAGGCUUAAUAAUUUUAUAAAAAUUCUUUGAAUUAUAAAUUACCCAAGAAGGUUUAAGUCCUGUAAAAGUAAAAAAAAUUAUAACUUUAAGUACUACGAGUAACUUGUAUGAAUAUGGGAGAACCGCCUUCCAAGCCAAAACAACUUUUUUAACCUAUAGUGUACGAGUACCGUGAGGGAAAGAUGAAAAAUUCCGUUUAGGAUUAAAUUAAAAUUAAAAGUUUAAAUUGAAUGCUUUACUUUUUGAAGUUUUAUUAAACCCAAAAAAUAACAAAAUGCCUUUUGCAUAAUGAAUCAGUAAGUUAAUAUAAUAUAGCAAGCUUAAGUAAUUGUAUAAAGGCGUAAUUUAAGUUAUAUUUAUUAAACCUGAAGUCAAGUGAUCUAACUUUAAACAGGUUAAAAAUUCAGUAAUAUGUUUUAGAAGACCGAACUCGUGUAUGUAGCAAAAUACUGAGACGAUUUAUAGUUAGGGAUGAAAGAUCAAUCAAACUUGACGAUAGCCGGUUUUUCACGAAAUGUAUUUAAGUACUACGUCAAUAAAAAGUAAAUUGUAUGUAUAGUAAAAAUUAAGUGAGGAGGAAUUUAUUUACUAAACUUAGUUUAACUUCAAAUUAUAGUUUAAUUGUAUAUUGAUAGACAGUCUUUAGGCGAUAAGGUUUAAAGACAAAAAGGAAACAACCUAAAUCAUUUGUUUAAGGUCUUGAAAUUAUAAUUUAGUGUAGAAAAUCUUUAUAUGAGACAAAUAACUUAAAUAGGCUUAGAAGCAGUCUUUUAUUGGAGAAAGCGUUUUAGCUCAUUAUUACUCUACAAAGAUUUAAAAUAAAGGAGGCUUAAAGUUAUAUACCGAAACAAUGAAUCAGUUUUUGCUGAUAGUAGUGAAACGCUCUGUAAAUUAUAUUAUUAAUGAAAAUUAAAUAAAAUUUAAUCAGAAUUGCUAAUGCUGAUAUGAGUAACGUAAACUAUGUGUACUAAAAUCAUAGUCACCUAUUACUAAAAGAUUUUCAACAUAAUUUUAAGUAUGUUGAGUUAGUCGGUCCUUAAGAAAAGAGCGAAAGCUGCAUUUGAAAGGUAUUUAUUCCAGUUGUAUACAACAAGUUAAAAAUUGUUGUGUGUAGUUUAUAAAAAAUAACAAAAUUCUUCUGGUUAAAAAUUAUUGUUUUUAUUUUUAUAAAACUCAAGAAAAAUUUGCAACAGUUAAAUAUAUUGACCGUAUUUAAUCCGACACAGGUAAGUAAGUAGAAGAUACUAAGGUGAAUGGGAGAAUUAAGUUUAAGGAACUUGGCAAAUUUUCUUUGUAAGUUCGCGAUAAAAAGUGUCAUGUUUUGUAACAUGAUAUCAUAGAAUAAAAAGUAACGACUGGUUAUCAAAACCACAAGACUCUGCUAAUUAGUUAAUAAAAUGUAUAGAGUUUGACGCCUGCCCAGUGCUUAAAAAUAAAUUAAUAUAUGUUUAUGCUUAUAUUAUAAUUAUAAGUAAACGGCGGUUCUAACUAUAAGAAUCCUUAGGUAGCGAAAUUCCUUGACGGGUAAAUUCCGUCCUGCAUGAAUGGUGUAACGAUUGCUUUACUGUCUCUAACUUAAAUCCAGUGAAAUUACAUUACCUAUGAAAAUGUAGGUAUUUUGCAGUAAGACGGAAAGACCCUAGAUCCUUUACUUUAAUUUUGUAUUGAAAAAAUUUACUGUUUUAUGUAGUUUAUAAGUGGAAAUACUAAAAAAUAUUUAAAUGAAAUACCACUUGAAACAUUAAUUUCUUCUUUAUUUAUUUUUAGAAAAAUAAGACAGUACAAAGCCGAAAGUUUACUUGGGAUGAGGACCUCCUAAAAUGUAACGGAGGUGUACAAAAAUAAGUUUUAGUUAUUUUUACUUUGUAAAUUAAAUAACUAAAUGUGUAAUGACAACAAAUUUAUUUGACAACAAGAUUGAUAAAUCGAGUUGAGAUGAAAGUCGGUCAUAGUGAUCCGGUAAAUAUGUGUGGAAGUUUUACCGCUCAACAAAUAAAAGGAACUCUAGGGAUAACAGAUUCAUCAUGGUUAAAAGAUCUUAUUGAUGCCAUGGUUUGAUACCUCGAUGUCGACUCAUCUUAUCCUGGACUUGAAGCAGAUUCCAAGGGUCUAGUUGUUCGCUAGUGAAGAAGGUACGUGAGUUGGGUUCAGAACGUCGUGAGACAGUUCGGUCCCUAUCUGCUGUAAGUAAGAAAAGAUAAAAAAUUUAUUUUUAGUACGAGAGGAUCAAAAUAAAUUAACCACUAGUCCAUUGAUUGUUAAUGCCAAUAGCACGUCAAUUAGCUACGUUAGUAUUAGUUUAUACACUGAAAGAAUUAAUUGUGUAAAAACAUAUUUUUCCUUUUCAAGAACAACCUAAGAGAUUAUUAGCUAGAUCGGUUUACAAUAUUUUUUAGUAAUAAAAAUUGUAAUUAAAUACGAAUAUUGUUCAUAAAUAAA